This 253-nucleotide ribosomal RNA is filed under the name uncultured bacterium. Its description in RNAcentral is "partial 16S ribosomal RNA". It matches the Rfam family "Bacterial small subunit ribosomal RNA", at positions 524 to 776 of the family's 1533-position model. The record is from RNAcentral.
UACGUAGGGUGCAAGCGUUGUCCGGAAUUAUUGGGCGUAAAGGGCUCGUAGGCGGUUUGUCGCGUCUGCCGUGAAAGUCCGGGGCUCAACUCCGGAUCUGCGGUGGGUACGGGCAGACUAGAGUGAUGUAGGGGAGACUGGAAUUCCUGGUGUAGCGGUGGAAUGCGCAGAUAUCAGGAGGAACACCGGUGGCGAAGGCGGGUCUCUGGGCAGUAACUGACGCUGAGGAGCGAAAGCGUGGGGAGCGAACAGG